GCACUUUAAUAGAUAUAUUCAAAUAUUAAUUAAAAUUUAUAAUUUACUUACAAGUCCAUCUUUAUGAAGUAGGUAAGUACUAAUAUCUUUCCGAAAAAUACAUUUAUUGUAACUCGCUUAAAUCUCUAUUAUUUGCUGCACCUUGAUCUGUCAUAAUAAUUUUAAUUAUAGUUACUUUUAGUUAAAUAUUUUUUAAAAAUAUUUUAGACGACGGCAUACAAACUAUUAUAAAUAAAGUGAAUAUUCCUUGGUGGUUAUCAUUUACUCAGUAAGUUCCCCUGUAGUUUAUUAAAGCCGCCAUAAUUUUUGAGUUUGACCUUAUUUUAGCUUACUGCUCAAAUCUAAUUUAAUAAUAAAGGGGAAUAGUAGGGUAUCUAAUCCUAGUUUUAUUUAUCCAUUUUUGUGUAAUAAUUAAGAUGAAAAAAUUUGCAAAUUAUAUUUUACUAUAAAGCUGCAUUAUAUAUAUUACUUAUUUUGAUUAGUUAGAUACAAUUAUCCAUUAGAUUAAUGGUUUGACCGCGGUUGCUGGCACCAUAUUUACCUCAAAGAUUUACCUAAACUAAGCUUAUAUUUUUAUAGUUAUAUUAAUAUCUACAACUGGAAAAUUUUACGAUUAUUCCCAUGAAUUGUUUUAGGUUUAAAUAAUUUCUCUCUAUCAAAUUAAAGUAGUAAAUUGGAUCUAAAAAGGAAGAUUAUCCUUUUUCGG
Molecule: ribosomal RNA, 706 nt
Filed under: Schileykula acampsis
Lineage: Eukaryota; Metazoa; Mollusca; Gastropoda; Stylommatophora; Orculidae
Description: partial 12S ribosomal RNA
Source: RNAcentral